UAGGGAAUAUUGGGCAAUGGAGGAAACUCUGACCCAGCCAUGCCGCGUGAAGGAUGAAGGUCCUACGGAUUGUAAACUUCUUUUAUAAGGGAAGAAAAAGCUUGAUUCAUCAAGCCCUGACGGUACCUUAUGAAUAAGCACCGGCUAACUCCGUGCCAGCAGCCGCGGUAAUACGGAGGGUGCAAGCGUUAUCCGGAUUCACUGGGUUUAAAGGGUGCGUAGGUGGGUCUGUAAGUCAGUGGUGAAAGCCCCGAGCUCAACUUGGGAACUGCCAUUGAUACUGCUGAUCUUGAGUAUGGUUGAGGUGGGCGGAAUGUUGCGUGUAGCGGUGAAAUGCUUAGAUAUGCAACAGAACACCGAUUGCGAAGGCAGCUCACUAAACCAUUACUGACACUGAGGCACGAAAGCGUGGGGAGCAAACAG
This 423-nucleotide ribosomal RNA is filed under the name uncultured bacterium. RNAcentral's name for it is "bacterial SSU rRNA". It matches the Rfam family "Bacterial small subunit ribosomal RNA", at positions 355 to 775 of the family's 1533-position model. The record is from RNAcentral.